RNAcentral lists this transfer RNA (73 nucleotides) under Thermoleophilaceae bacterium. RNAcentral's name for it is "tRNA-Lys". It matches the Rfam family "tRNA". Rfam says of the family: Transfer RNA (tRNA) molecules are approximately 80 nucleotides in length. The record is from RNAcentral. Lineage: Bacteria; Bacillati; Actinomycetota; Thermoleophilia; Thermoleophilales; Thermoleophilaceae.
GCCCCCGUAGCUCAGUGGUUAGAGCGGCGGUCUUUUAAACCGCGCGGCGCGAGUUCGAUUCUCGCCGGGGGCA